CCUACGGGAGGCAGCAGUGGGGAAUCUUCCACAAUGGACGAAAGCCUGAUGGAGCAACGCCGCGUGAGUGAAGAAGGGUUUCGGCUCGUAAAGCUCUGUUGGUAGUGAAGAAAGAUAGAGGUAGUAACUGGCCUUUAUUUGACGGUAAUUACUUAGAAAGUCACGGCUAACUACGUGCCAGCAGCCGCGGUAAUACGUAGGUGGCAAGCGUGGUCCGGAUUUAUUGGGCGUAAAGCGAGUGCAGGCGGUUCAAUAAGUCUGAUGUGAAAGCCUUCGGCUCAACCGGAGAAUUGCAUCAGAAACUGUUGAACUUGAGUGCAGUAGAGGCGAGUGGAACUCCAUGUGUAGCGGUGAAAUGCGUAGAUAUAUGGAAGAACACCAGUGGCGAAGGCGGCUCUCUGGUCUGCAACUGACGCUGAGGCUCGAAAGCGUGGGUAGCGAACAGGAUUAGAUACCCUUGUAGUC
RNAcentral lists this ribosomal RNA (465 nucleotides) under uncultured bacterium. RNAcentral's name for it is "partial 16S ribosomal RNA". It matches the Rfam family "Bacterial small subunit ribosomal RNA", at positions 338 to 795 of the family's 1533-position model. The record is from RNAcentral.